Molecule: ribosomal RNA, 571 nt
Filed under: uncultured archaeon
Lineage: Archaea
Description: bacterial SSU rRNA
Rfam family: Archaeal small subunit ribosomal RNA
Source: RNAcentral
GAUUGAUCCUGCCGGACCUGACUGCUAUCGGAUUGGUACUAAGCCAUGCGAGUCGUUGUAGCAAUACAAGGCGGACUGCUCAGUAACACGUAGUUAACUUAACCUAUGGAUGGGCAUAACCUCGGGAAACUGAGAAUAAUACCCAAUGGACCACAGUGCCUGGAAUGGCCUGUGGUUGAAAUGAUUUAUCGCCGUAGGAUAGGACUGCGGCCUAUCAGCUUGUUGGUGAGGUAAUGGCCCACCAAGGCUAUAACAGGUACGGGCUCUGAGAGGAGGGGCCCGGAGAUGGGUACUGAGACACGGACCCAGGCCCUAUGGGGCGCAGCAGGCGAGAAACCUUUGCAAUGUGCGAAAGCACGACAAGGUUAAUCCGAGUGUCUCCUGCUAAAGGAGUCUUUUGUCAGUUGUAGAAUCACUGGUGAAUAAGGGGUGGGCAAGUUCUGGUGUCAGCCGCCGCGGUAAAACCAGCACCUCGAGUGGUCAGGAGGUUUAUUGGGCCUAAAGCAUCCGUAGCCGGUUGCAUAAGUUUUCGGUUAAAUCUAUGCGCUUAACGUAUAGGCCGCCGAAAAUA